Molecule: RNA transcript, 3269 nt
Organism: Raphanus sativus (radish)
Lineage: Eukaryota; Viridiplantae; Streptophyta; Magnoliopsida; Brassicales; Brassicaceae
Exons: 6
Source: RefSeq, a predicted model, not a curated record
GAGGUGGUGGUGGUGGGGAGUGAGAGAGUGGAAAAUUCAAAACGCAGCUCUCUCUCUCUCUCUCCUGACUCUUCUUCACCUCUCUCGUCACAUCAAUCCACACUGUAUAGUAGUAUCUGUUUUCUUCUUCUUCCUCAAGUUCUCUGCUCUGCUUCUUCACUUUUCCAUUGGUCCCAAAUCCCAAAUCAUUAAAACUUACUUCCUCUUCUCUCAUUUUUAACCUUUAACUUAUCUGACCCCAUCUCUCAAAAAAAAAUCUCUCCUUUCUCUUUCUUCUGACUCAUCCUCUUUGGUCUCUUAAAACUUUCCUCGAUUUCAAUUCUCAAUUGCUUUGGUUCAAGUGAAUGAAAUUGCCGGUACCUCCCCCCCUGUUAAUGUGUCCAUAACCUCGAAUUCGAUUGAUUCCCUUCAUCAAGAUCCCAAUUUUGGAAUGAGCCCGUGAGUGAAAGUUGAGGUCUUUGGCAUCUCAAGUUAACCCAUUAGGGAAAAUAUAAUUCAGUAGAUGGAAGAAUAAUAAUUAAACAAAAAAAAAAAUGGAAGUUGUUGAGAGGAAACGAUCUAGAGGAGGGUUCUUGAAUCUAUUUGAUUGGCCUGGAAAGUCCCGCAAGAAGCUCUUCUCUUCUGCCAGCUCACAACUCUCAGGUUUGUCUUACAUUAUAGUAUGGUCACAACUAGUUAGUUCUUGUGAUACUCUCAUAUGUAGAUGUCUUAGCUGUAAGAGAAAUGUACUUCUCUUUAGAAGGAUUAUGGUUUAAGACAUUGUUUUUUUUGUAGCAGAAGAAUCAAAGCAGACAAAACAGAAUGCUCAAAACCUCUCCAGUCCUUCUCUCAAUGAGGUUGAUGAGGUUAGCAAGAACUUGAGAAGUGAGUCAAGCUGUUGUGGAUCUUCUGUUACUAGCGAUGAGGAAGGGACAGGAACGAGAGCCCCGAGCGUGGUUGCAAGGCUCAUGGGUCUAGAGUCUCUACCUGUACCAAACGUUCAGGAGCCUCGGUUUAACCCCGAUCUUGAUCCAUUCUUCCUCAGACCUUCACGCAACACAACAAGCAGCAAAUGGAAUGCUGCAUAUGAGAAUCUCCGUAGUGACUAUGACCGAGUAUCCUCGGAACAUUUGGAUUCAAGAACGAGUGAUGGCCGCAGCAACAGACCCAUUGAGAGGUUUCAGACUGAAACAUUCCCUCCCAGGUCGGCCAAACCGAUCUGCGUUACCAACAACAGGCUCUUGUCUCCCAUCAGGAGCCCUGGGUUCGUCCCAUCCAGGAACCCUGUUUAUGUAAUGGAAGCAGCUUCGAGAAUGAUUGAACCAAGUCCUCCUAGGAUGGUUGCUGCUAGAACGCGCUUUUCGCCGUCAUCCAACUCUCCUUCAUCGGUUCCUAUGAGGAUUCAAGAUUUAAGAGAGAAACUAGAAGCUGCACAGAAGGUUUCAAGCCGCCAAGUCAGUGGAAAGCACAACGAGAAAAGAGCAUCAGCAUCAGUCUCAACACCAUCAACUAGUAAUAGUAAGUUCACAGGGAAAAACAGUUCUUCUGAUGGUUUGAAGAGAAAAGCAAAGCCACCUUAUGUAUCUGCUCAAGCAAAGACCAGCACAACGCCCUUAAGCGGCGUCAGCAGAAGCCAAAAGGAGAAAGCAGAAGCUAAGAAUGGUCUCAGAGGAGGAGCUCACAUUAACACAGGAAAGAGUGUGCUUAAGCAGAACUACCAGAAACAGAACUGCAGAGACAAGACCUCUGCUUCAAACCAAAAAAGCAGCAAUGUAGUUAACAAAGCUGUGAGCAAGGUUCCGGUGUCAAAGCAGCAGGGUGAGGCAUUAGCGGGAAAGAACACUUAUUUAUCUUUGUCUCGCAAAAAGGCACUUCCCAGGAGCAAAAAGCCUCCAAACGGGAGGAUGCAAGGAACUGGAACCUCCGAUGACAAACGGAUCAAAAGGAAUGAAAACGUGAUAAAAUGUAACGUCACCAUUGAUAAUAACACAGGCAAAGAUGGUCGGAAAAAGGAAACGGAUGUGAUCUCAUUCACGUUCUCAUCCCCCAUCAAAGGCUUAUCAUCUGAUUCACUGUCUUCAACUCAAGGAAACACAGACCGAGACACAGACUCUGCAGUUAGUUUCGACAUGUUUGGUGGAGAUUCUUUGAAUGUCCUGUUAGAGAAAAAGCUCAGAGAGCUGACUUCUAAGCUUGAGUCUUCUAGCUGUAGCUUGACACAAGAAGAGUCUCCACGCUUCAGCGCUAAAGAUGAGGUGAACGGGAUGAAGUCGACCCAAGACGGUCUGGAUACUGUUUUAUCAGAGAGUGAAUCUGUUUCUGACUGCACUUCAGUCUAUGACAAACAAAAAUUUCAGAUGAUACAAGCAGAAGAGCAGGAAGUUAGCAGCAUUAGCACUGUGACAGAAGCUGAUGAUCUCAGAAGCUCUUGCAGCAAGGGCUUCUUAGAUUGCAGACAGACCACAGAACAUGAGAUUAAACAGUCCUCACCAGAUCAAGAAUUUACAUGGGUUUCAUCAUCAGCACAAGAAGAGUCUGAACUCUCAGAGUCUGUAAUAACACUGGCUUAUUCAGAAGACGAAGAAAGGCUAGACUGGGAGCUUGAGUACAUAUCUGAGAUCCUCGGUUCUGACCAACUGAUGGUGAAAGAGUUUGCUUUGGGGAUGGCUGCUGAUAUAUUACCUGCGAGCCUCUUUGAUGAAAUGGAAGGCCCUGGAGAAGCAACAGCAGCCAAGCUUAGAAGAAAAACUGUAUUUGAUUUUGUCAAUAACUCCUUAGCACUUAAAUGCGAGCAGAUGGUUAGGGGUACCUGCAGAGGGAUAUUGGGGAAAGAGGGGAUUCUGUUUGAACAUAGAGUUUGGUUAGCUGAAGAACUGAACAGAGAGGUUCAGGGGUUGAAGAAGAUGAGGGAGAUGAUGAUGGACGAGCUUGUUGACAAAGAGAUGAGCAGUUUGGAAGGGAAUUGGCUUGAUUUCGAGAGGGAGAGUUAUGAAGAAGGCAUUGACAUUGAGGGAGAGAUAGUCUCUACGUUGGUUGAUGAUUUAGUUAAUGAUCUUGUCUGUGUGUUCAAAGAACAACAAGGGCAUGGGUUAGUGUCUGCUUUUGUCAGAGUUUGAUCUUCUCUCAGCGUUGUAGAAGCUCCUGGUCAUAUCCUCUGAGCAUUCCUUAUAUAUUUUUCAACGGUUCUUUUGAUUUGUUAUGUAUUGUCUUACAUGGGUAAAUCCCUUUAAAGAUCGAAUGAAGUGCAAAUAAACUAUCAAAAUGAUUAAGAAAAAUGUUUAACAACUUUA